AGCCACAUUGGGACUGAGACACGGCCCAAACUCCUACGGGAGGCAGCAGUGGGGAAUCUUGCACAAUGGAGGAAACUCUGAUGCAGCGAUGCCGCGUGAGUGAAGAAGGCCUUUGGGUUGUAAAGCUCUUUCGUCGGGGAAGAAAAUGACUGUACCCGAAUAAGAAGGUCCGGCUAACUUCGUGCCAGCAGCCGCGGUAAUACGAAGGGACCUAGCGUAGUUCGGAAUUACUGGGCUUAAAGAGUUCGUAGGUGGUUGAAAAAGUUGGUGGUGAAAUCCCAGAGCUUAACUCUGGAACUGCCAUCAAAACUUUUCAGCUAGAGUUUGAUAGAGGAAAGCAGAAUUUCUAGUGUAGAGGUGAAAUUCGUAGAUAUUAGAAAGAAUACCAAUUGCGAAGGCAGCUUUCUGGAUCAAUACUGACACUGAGGAACGAAAGCAUGGGUAGCGAAGAGGAUUAGAUACCCUCGUAGUCCAUGCCGUAAACGAUGUGUGUUAGACGUUGGAAAUUUAUUUUCAGUGUCGCAGUGAAAGCGAUAAACACACCGCCUGGGGAGUACGACCGCAAGGUUAAAACUCAAAUGAAUUGACGGGGACCCGCACAAGUAGUGGAGCAUGUGGUUUAAUUCGAAGAUACGCGCAGAACCUUACCAACACUUGACAUGUUCGUCGCGACUUUAAGAGAUUAAAGUUUUCGGUUCGGCCGGACGAAACACAGGUGCUGCAUGGCUGUCGUCAGCUCGUGUCGUGAGAUGUUGGGUUAAGUCCCGCAACGAGCGCAACCCUCACUUUUAGUUGCCAUCAUUUAGUUGGGCACUCUGAAAGAACUGCCAGUGAUAAGCUGGAGGAAGU
This 849-nucleotide ribosomal RNA is filed under the name marine metagenome. RNAcentral describes it as "bacterial SSU rRNA". It matches the Rfam family "Bacterial small subunit ribosomal RNA", at positions 306 to 1173 of the family's 1533-position model. The record is from RNAcentral.